CUGGACUUGCAAGUCAUGCUUACAUCCCCCCAGUGUGGUCAAUUCCCAGAAGGCCAAGGUGGUCAAUUCCACGGCACAAAUGUGGUCAGAACAAUCAAGAGAGCCAAAAAAGUCAUAUUUGUUCGGAUUAACAACUCAAUCUGGAAACUAUUUAAUAUAAGGUGGAAAAUAGGAUUUCAAAAGAAAAGAAGAAGGAGAAGAACAAGAAAAUGAAACUAAGUUUCAUCAAAGAGGGCAAGUGAGCGAUUAAAAGUAAAUCUCUCAUGCUUUGCUCCCACA
Molecule: long non-coding RNA, 279 nt
Filed under: Lynx pardinus (Iberian lynx)
Lineage: Eukaryota; Metazoa; Chordata; Mammalia; Carnivora; Felidae
Source: RNAcentral